GACGAACGCUGGCGGCGUGCUUAACGCAUGCAAGUCGAACGAGACGAUUGAAAGCUUGCUUUCGAAAGUCGAGUGGCAAACGGGUGAGUAACGCGUAGACAACCUGCCUUUGAGAUGGGGACAACAGCUCGAAAGGACUGCUAAUACCGAAUGUUGUAUAUUUUCCACAUGGAAGAUAUAUUAAAGAUGGCCUCUAUUUAUAAGCUAUCGCUCAAAGAUGGGUCUGCGUCUGAUUAGCUGGUUGGUGGGGUAACGGCCUACCAAGGCGACGAUCAGUAGCCGGUCUGAGAGGAUGAACGGCCACAUUGGGACUGAGACACGGCCCAGACUCCUACGGGAGGCAGCAGUGGGGAAUCUUCCACAAUGGACGAAAGUCUGAUGGAGCAACGCCGCGUGAGUGAAGAAGGGUUUCGGCUCGUAAAGCUCUGUUGCCGGGGACGAAUGUGCAGUAUUUGAAUAAAGUACUGUAAUGACGGUACCUGACGAGGAAGCCACGGCUAACUACGUGCCAGCCGCCGCGGUAA
This 524-nucleotide ribosomal RNA is filed under the name uncultured bacterium. RNAcentral's name for it is "partial 16S ribosomal RNA". It matches the Rfam family "Bacterial small subunit ribosomal RNA", at positions 28 to 523 of the family's 1533-position model. The record is from RNAcentral.